AGGACAACAAGCUGUGAUAUUAAUCCAUUAUGCUGCGUCAAAUCUGAUGUACAAACCUGCGAACACUGACUGUUCACAGAUGGAAACGUGUUAGCUACACUCAGGAGGAUUUGUUAGCACUUUAGAUGAAAUUCAUCUAUUAGAGAAGUAUCAUUAAGAAGGAACAAUAGAGAGACGGAGGCUUUGAUUUUGAUGGUGUUUCUUUUACUACAAAAUCACUUCAGUUUUCUGGUUUAAUAGCAGAAGUUAUUCAGUCCUCGGGGGAAUGCACUUAUCACAAAUUUCUGCAAAUUGUAAGAGUUUGAAGGAGGGGAGAAAAACUUUGACAAUUAGUCUUUUUUUAUAAAAAAAAAUCUCAAAGGGUGCAGUGACAGAUUGCAGAGUCAAAGACGCUAUUAACAGUCACGUCAUACCUGCACCGAGCCUGCAGAAACCUUUUUCUUCUUCUGCUUUCCUGCUGGUGCGGUGGGGAAACACAGUCUGCUCUCUCACCUGGCUGCCUCCUGCUACGCUGUGGCUCAGGUGUUCUAACUGGAAAAUUACAAGUGACUUGAUUUGUGUAAGUGGCUGUGAUAAAUUAGCUGUGUUAAGCUUUUGGGCACAGUGGUACUUGUUAGCCUCUUCCAGCAAACAGCUAUUAAAAAAAACAACAAAAAAAAACACACUGCUCUGCAUUUUACCGAAUUACAAACAAGCAGCAGGAAAGAAAUUAAAUAUGAUUGGUUUGUCCACUGAUUUAAAUUUUUCCUUGCUUGCUAGAUCAUUAAUUACCCCACCACAUAAACAGUGUCUGAAGACCUCAUUAAAUACAGCGCUUUAUUAGGAAACCGCAAACUGAACCUAUGUAUUACUACAAUUAUCCAAUCAGCCAAUAAUUUAGCAGCUGUGCACAAAAAUCCUGCAGAUACAAAUCGAGAGCUUUGUGUAAUGUUCACAUCAAACAUCGGAGAAAAUGUGAUCUCUGCGGCUUUGACUGCGACAUGAUUGUUGGUGCCAGGCAGGCUUCUCUGAGUCUUCCUGAAACUGCUGAUCUCCUGGGGUUCAGUUUAAUCUGAACGGUGCUAAAAACAAAAUAGAACAGCCAGUGAGCGGUUCCUCUGCAGAAGGAAACAUCUUGUUGAUGAGCGAGAUCAGAGGAGAGUAGCUAAGCUGGUAUGAUCUGAAAGAAAGACUACAGCACCUCUGAUAACAACAGUGUGAGCCAAAUAAAUCACCAAAGAACCAAUCAGCUCCUUCAUGAACAACAACAUUAGAGCAACAUUAGCCUCUGCAAAUACUCCAAGUGUCCGCACCUAAUUCAAAUCUGAAAAUAAAAACAAAAAUACUCCUCGUAGUUUUGCACUAUUGCCCCAAAAUAAAACAUAAAAAGCUCUUUUUCCACCAUAUACUUCUACUACACAUGUGCACAGUUUGACAACAUCACAGCUACAAUAGCUGCUCACACCAGAGUGUUAACACUAUCAGCGUCUCAUCAGAG
Molecule: long non-coding RNA, 1477 nt
Organism: Astatotilapia calliptera (eastern happy)
Lineage: Eukaryota; Metazoa; Chordata; Actinopteri; Cichliformes; Cichlidae
Source: Ensembl